Molecule: ribosomal RNA, 375 nt
Filed under: Triticum aestivum (bread wheat)
Lineage: Eukaryota; Viridiplantae; Streptophyta; Magnoliopsida; Poales; Poaceae
Description: partial small subunit ribosomal RNA
Source: RNAcentral
AUGAGUCUACAUGUUAUUAAAAUUGGGAUGCGACUCACCCUACUAAAAGCGGUCACCUGCUUGCAUGUAGCAGCUGACCGAAUAAAUAUAUACUCCCUCCGUUCCAAAAUUCUUGUCUUAGAUUUGUCUAGAUACGGAUGUAUCAAGGAUUUUGGGACGGAGGGAGUAUUAUAUAUGAGCUUUUUUAAGAUAUGUAUAUGUUCACUUUUGUACAUCAGAGAUAAAAGUCAAUGGAUGCGGAUGAUGCUACUGUUGAUCGACAAAGUCACUGACGUAGUUAUGAUUGACCAGACUGAAAACUCAUCAAACUUUACAAAAUCAGAAGAGAUGUAUACAAAUUAUGGUUCUUCUUUGUAUAUAAACUACACACAAUAA